Molecule: ribosomal RNA, 253 nt
Filed under: uncultured bacterium
Lineage: Bacteria
Description: partial 16S ribosomal RNA
Rfam family: Bacterial small subunit ribosomal RNA
Source: RNAcentral
UACGUAGGGUGCGAGCGUUAAUCGGAAUUACUGGGCGUAAAGCGUGCGCAGGCGGUUCGUUGUGUCGGCGGUGAAAGCCCCGGGCUUAACCCGGGAAUGGCCGUUGAAACUGGCGAACUGGAGUGUGGCAGAGGGGGGUGGAAUUCCGCGUGUAGCAGUGAAAUGCGUAGAGAUGCGGAGGAACACCGAUGGCGAAGGCAGCCCCCUGGGCUAACACUGACGCUCAGGCACGAAAGCGUGGGGAGCAAACAGG